GGGCCCGCACAAGCGGUGGAGCAUGUGGUUUAAUUCGAUGAUACGCGAGGAACCUUACCAGGGCUUAAAUGCAGAACGACCGGCGUGGAAACAUGCCUUUCUUCGGACGGACUGCAAGGUGCUGCAUGGUCGUCGUCAGCUCGUGCCGUGAGGUGUCGGGUUAAGUCCCAUAACGAGCGCAACCCCUAUCUUUAGUUGCCAGCGGAUAAUGCCGGGGACUCUAGAGAAACUGCCAGCGUAAGCUGUGAGGAAGGUGGGGAUGACGUCAGAUCAUCACGGCCCUUACGUCCUGGGCUACACACGUGCUACAAUGGCAAGGACAAUGAGCUGCCAACCCGCGAGGGGAGCGGA
Molecule: ribosomal RNA, 351 nt
Filed under: uncultured bacterium
Lineage: Bacteria
Description: bacterial SSU rRNA
Rfam family: Bacterial small subunit ribosomal RNA
Source: RNAcentral